UGUGAAGGAGGAAGAAAGUGAGGUCAUAGCGUAAUUGGUCUCCCGUUCCAUUUGACCCAUGAAAAUGAACAGAUAUUAUCAUUAUUCAUGAUUCCAAGUUCAACGGUACGCUUUAAUAUAUGUUCGUAUUUUAACAAAAUUUGGUUUAAUUGAUACCUCCAUGGUUAUCUUUAAAAACUCGUUCAAGCGUGACCUUUAUGACGUAAUCUUAAGAUCUGAGCUGAUUGGAAGGGCUGGUAGUCGGAUUGGCGUUCGGCCCUACACUCGACAACUGGUUCUCUAUUGACAUACAGACGCAUUAUCAAAAGUGCUAUCUAAAAAUAACAAGCGCAAAGUCAACAAAUGUUUAUUACUAAACAGAUUACGAUAUUGAACGUUAUCUGAUGAUGCCAACAAAUUAAUUGCUCAUCUAUGUGUGGUUUCUGAAGGGUUUUAGCGUGUGUCUCGUCAUGCCUUCAUCAUUAGCAAUUAUGCGGUUUGGGUUAGGCGUGGCGACAGGAGAGCAUAAUAAGGCCGAAGACAGAACAGUCAGGGAAGGUUAAACUGGUUCAACUAUUGGCUCUUAUAUAACCUUCAUUUGGACGUGCUUCAUAAAUUGAAGCUUCCGAAAUGACCACCGACUCGAGUUCAGCACGAAACUUUAGAUAGAGUUUGGUUACCCAAUAAUAGAUCUUGCAUGUCUACAAUUUCUGUUUGUCGAGCGAAGUUUUCUCCAAGGCCCGGAACCGUGCCAAAUAUACUACGACGUUACUGGGAACGACUUCAGAAGAUUAAAUUUACGACUUUUUGCAUAAAAAUUAAUCCGGAUUGAAACGUUUUAUAUACGUGGCGACAGAAUACGUAAUGUGAAACUCAGGGGAUAUGGUGUGGAGACAGUUACACCUCUGAAGCGCAGAGGGCAUUGGCGUUGUUAUGGUACCAUGACAUUCGCGCAGGUUAUAAAUAGGCCGAUCUAGACUCUUACAAGACUCUACCAAUCGUAUAAUCUGACCUAUAUACUGAUCUGUGCUGACAUUUUAUGAGCCAGUGACAAUAAAAUCAGAAUUUUACUUGCAGAUGUUGUUCUUUUUUUUUUUAAAUACGAUAACAGGCCAAAUAUAAUAAUAUUAUGUACACGUAAACCUACAUCAAACGGUAUAUGGAU
This 1144-nucleotide long non-coding RNA is filed under the name Anneissia japonica. RNAcentral describes it as "uncharacterized LOC117116369, transcript variant X3". Lineage: Eukaryota; Metazoa; Echinodermata; Crinoidea; Comatulida; Comatulidae. The record is from RNAcentral.